ACGUAGUUAGCUUGUUCUUUAAGCUUCCAACAUGUGUGGCACAUGGCUAACUUGUUGACCAAGUUUCUAACCUAAAAGUCAACUAUAGACUCCUAUAAAGUCAAAGCAGCGUCUAUGAAGCUUCUAAGAAGCUUCUCUAGAAGAUAUUACACAAUUAACCUACUUUUAUCUACUUUUACAUACUUUUAUCUAUUCAUAUAGGUAAUUAUAUGUAUGUCCUUGACAUUACCCCCCCUUCUAGGGACGAGUUCCACGAGGAGCGGUGAUUAUAUAUUGAGAAAAUCUAAUAUGCGGCGAAUUGUAUUUGCUACAUACUCUGAUCUUUGUUCUCUUCGAAGAUAGUUGAUGGGUCCUCUUAGCCAUCGAUAGUGUCCCAUUCCAGGGCGAGAAGACCACCCUGUUAUUUGAUCACUGUUGAGGCCUUCAUAACUUCCUUCAAAUAAUACAUUUGAAACACCAUCAGGAGUCGUUCCUAUCUCCAAUAAUAUCACCAAACAUCGAGAAUCUCUUCCAAGGUCGUGAUACCAAACGCGUUGUAUCUCACCAUCUAUUCGAGGAAGAACAUGUCGUUCUUGAGGGUCUUCAUGUCGGUUGCGUCGUCUUGAAGGUUGUGACAAUCGCAAUGUCUCAUCCGGUAAGUCAACAAACGAAGGUUCUUGAGUUGA
This 665-nucleotide long non-coding RNA is filed under the name Physcomitrium patens. RNAcentral's name for it is "long non-coding RNA (PPAT_LNC008170)". The record is from RNAcentral. Lineage: Eukaryota; Viridiplantae; Streptophyta; Bryopsida; Funariales; Funariaceae.